RNAcentral lists this long non-coding RNA (963 nucleotides) under Prunus persica (peach). RNAcentral's name for it is "long non-coding RNA (PPER_LNC006471)". The record is from RNAcentral. Lineage: Eukaryota; Viridiplantae; Streptophyta; Magnoliopsida; Rosales; Rosaceae.
AAGAGAAGAUAGAAAAGAAAGGGAGAAACGGAAAGAAAGAAAGAGAAAGGAGGAAAGAGAAGAGGAAAGAGAAAGGAGGAAAGAGAAGAGGAAAGGGAAAGGGGGAAAGGAGGAAAGAGAAGAGGAAAGAGAGUCAGGCAGAGAAGAGGAAGGGAAGGAAGAAAUAGGGUGAGUGAGCAGAGAGAAAAUUCAGUGAGCCUUACAUAUUGUAAACUCUAAAGUUGUAGUUCUAUUAUUUUAUUUAGUGAAAAAGUUACUGCUGCUGCUCUCCGAGGACGUAGGCAUAGCCGAACCUCGUUAAAUGCUGUGUCUCAUCUACUUUACGAGCAGCUCUGAAUUAUCGCACAUAUCCCAGGUUAUUUUUAUAACAUAAUUGACUUAUUGAGAGAGCACUCCCAUUGAUCGUGCUUAGAGCUCCACUCACUUGAAAUCUUAUUGUUUUUUUUUUUUUUUAAUAGUAAAGAUGAACUUUCAUUAAUAAAGACCAAAAAGAGGUCAAAGAAGCACCGAGACUACACAACCAGUCAAACGGCAUUAACAAGAAAAAGAAACCAAAGCGACAAGAAAAGGUAAAACUAAAGAAAAGCUACAAGGGAAAGUAAAAUAAAAGAGGAAAACACAGCACAGCCAACGAACAACAUCACAUAUUUUUUUUACUUGGUAACUGGUUCAGGUUGUGGGCUUCGAGGAAAUUGAUCUUAUAAUAUUCAAGAGUAGGCAAGUGGAUUCCAACAAAAAAAGAGACAAGGCAAGUGGAUUCCAAACAAACAAAAAAAGAGUAGGCAAGUGGAGCAUCUGGAAUUUGAUCUGAAAAAUCCGCGAGCAAUCCUUAUCAAAAAGACUUUUAUGAAAUGAAAGUAGUAUUAUUAAUAAUAUUUUCAGUAUUAUUGGUUAUGAAUAAAAUAAUUAACAAAAUAAUAUUAUCCCCUAUUGCAAGUUGCAAGUGGUCCGAAUGGAAAGUAA